CGGGGUGUGGCGCAGCUUGGUAGCGCGCUUCGUUCGGGACGAGAGGUCGUGGGUUCAAAUCCCGCCACCCCGACCA
RNAcentral lists this transfer RNA (76 nucleotides) under Rhodococcus (subgen. Prescottella) equi. RNAcentral describes it as "Prescottella equi tRNA-Pro". It matches the Rfam family "tRNA". Rfam says of the family: Transfer RNA (tRNA) molecules are approximately 80 nucleotides in length. Lineage: Bacteria; Bacillati; Actinomycetota; Actinomycetes; Mycobacteriales; Nocardiaceae. The record is from RNAcentral.